Molecule: long non-coding RNA, 229 nt
Filed under: Musa acuminata (dwarf banana)
Lineage: Eukaryota; Viridiplantae; Streptophyta; Magnoliopsida; Zingiberales; Musaceae
Description: long non-coding RNA (MACU_LNC005683)
Source: RNAcentral
GCGAACUUGCGAAGGAGUGUUCAAUGCCCGGUACUAUACCGAAGCCCCAUCCAGCCCUGUGCCACUCGGGGGGUUCCAAGGGGCUGAGAUGGCUGACGUUUUGGUGAGCGGAGGCAGAUUCCAGAAAUCAGCCCGCGGCACACGAAAACGGAGCUGUUUUGGGCUGUUUUGGGGCUGUUUUGCUCGGUUCGGUGAGCGAUUGCUUUGUAACGCUGCAGCUUAUUCGAAC